Molecule: long non-coding RNA, 1283 nt
Filed under: Callithrix jacchus (white-tufted-ear marmoset)
Lineage: Eukaryota; Metazoa; Chordata; Mammalia; Primates; Cebidae
Description: lncRNA (ENSCJAG00000071761.1)
Source: RNAcentral
AAACAACAACCACUUUAUUAUAUUUUAUAAUUUUUGUAGGUUAAGGAUUUGGGCAGGGCUCAGCUAGUGGGUUUUCUGCAUUACUUGUGGUGUUGACAGAAGUCAACCCAUGUUAAUUACCUGGUGGAUGGGCUAGUUUGGAGAGUCCAAGGUGGAGUAGCUCACGUGUCUGGAACCUUGGUGGGGAUGGUGGCUCAUCCAGUGAUCUUGGGGUAGUUAGAACCUUUACUUGGCAGCCCAGGGCUCCAAAAUAAGUGUUCUAGGAAACAAAGAGGAAGCUGUAAGGCCUUUUAUGACAAAGCCUUGGACGUCAGCUACUCUGUUGGUGAAAGCAGUCUCAAGCCUACUCACAUUCAAAUGGGUUUCAUGGAAUAUGGUAUAGCAUGGAAUCUGUGGCCAUAUUUUAAAUUGCCACAGCAGCCCAAGAUAAGUUAAAUGUACACUUACAUUUUUUUCUAGCUUGUUUAUGCCCCUCUGCCUCCUCCUGCCCCUCCUUUCCCUUCUCCUUCUCCUCCUCCUUUCUUUCUUUAUAGAAAUAUUAAAUCCUUAAUCCAUAUGGAGAUCAUUUAAUACAGAUUUAUAAUGAGGUUCAAAUUUGAAUUAUUUCUCUAGUAAAUGGUUUUACUGUAAUUUUUUUUGUUGUUGGAUAAUCGUUUCUUUACUGAGAGCUGCUGACUUUUAUAGAUACUAGGGACUGUGCGAAUGUUCUGUUAAUGGGGAAGAAAAUGCCGUUCAUGCUAUAUGAUUCGUUUUCUAGCACUGGUCUCACUUGUCCAGCUUUCAGUCUGAGAAGCAACCAAGCACACUGCUGAUGCUGGGCUGUUCAGCUCUUAUAUGGUAAAUUUGCUUCUGUGGCCUGAGUCCAGAACACAUCCUAGUCUUCUCUGGAGAGAAGCAGAGUCAGGGGAAGGAAGAGAUUUUGUAAUGUGGACAGUGUUCAGUGUUCAUUGCUGAGGAAUCGAGAGUCAGUUUGCAUUCGUCAUGGGCGGAGGACCCCGCAGCUGGUGGAAGGCCAGCAGCAGUGUAAAGGAAAAAGACGUGUGAAUGAAGAACCCUUGAAAUUGACCCCAGCUGUAGGCACUCGCCACACUUGCCUCAAUCUCCUGGGAGACCCGGAGUCAGACUAGUUCAGCUCAGCUGCUCUCAAAUUCCUGGCCCGCAAAACCUGCAAGAGCUAAUAAACAACAUUGCUUUGGUAAGGCUAAAAGUUUUGGGCUGAUUUCUUAUGCAUUGCUAGAUAACAAAUACAGACAUGAUAUCAACUAGUAACUCUGUGUGACAUG